UACAGAGGUCUCAAGCGUUGUUCGGAUUCAUUGGGCGUAAAGGGUGCGUAGGCGGCGCGGUAAGUCGGGUGUGAAAUCGCGGAGCUUAACUCCGAAACUGCAUUCGAUACUGCCGUGCUUGAGGACUGGAGAGGAGACUGGAAUUUACGGUGUAGCGGUGAAAUGCGUAGAUAUCGUAAGGAAGACCAGUGGCGAAGGCGGGUCUCUGGACAGUUCCUGACGCUGAGGCACGAAGGUCAGGGGAGCAAACGGG
RNAcentral lists this ribosomal RNA (253 nucleotides) under uncultured bacterium. RNAcentral's name for it is "partial 16S ribosomal RNA". It matches the Rfam family "Bacterial small subunit ribosomal RNA", at positions 524 to 776 of the family's 1533-position model. The record is from RNAcentral.